GACGAACCGUGCGAACGUUGUUCGGAAUCAUUGGGCUUAAAGGGCGCGUAGGCGGGCUAGCAAGUCAGGGGUGAAAGCCCACGGCUCAACCGUGGAAGUGCCUUUGAUACUGCUAGUCUGGAGGGAGGUAGGGGCGUGCGGAACUUCCGGUGGAGCGGUGAAAUGCGUAGAUAUCGGGAAGGAACACCGGUGGCGAAGGCGGUUCUCUGGGCCGAUGACUGACGCUGAGGAGCGAAAGCGUGGGGAGCAAACAGG
This 255-nucleotide ribosomal RNA is filed under the name uncultured bacterium. RNAcentral describes it as "partial 16S ribosomal RNA". It matches the Rfam family "Bacterial small subunit ribosomal RNA", at positions 524 to 776 of the family's 1533-position model. The record is from RNAcentral.